Molecule: ribosomal RNA, 460 nt
Filed under: uncultured bacterium
Lineage: Bacteria
Description: partial 16S ribosomal RNA
Rfam family: Bacterial small subunit ribosomal RNA
Source: RNAcentral
CCUACGGGGGGCAGCAGUGAGGAAUAUUGGUCAAUGGACGAGAGUCUGAACCAGCCAAGUAGCGUGAAGGAUGACUGCCCUAUGGGUUGUAAACUUCUUUUAUAUGGGAAUAAAACGUUCCACGUGUGGGAUUUUGUAUGUACCAUAUGAAUAAGGAUCGGCUAACUCCGUGCCAGCAGCCGCGGUAAUACGGAGGAUCCGAGCGUUAUCCGGAUUUAUUGGGUUUAAAGGGAGCGUAGGUGGAUUGUUAAGUCAGUUGUGAAAGUUUGCGGUUCAACCGUAAAAUUGCAGUUGAAACUGGCAGUCUUGAGUACAGUAGAGGUAGGCGGAAUUCGUGGUGUAGCGGUGAAAUGCUUAGAUAUCACGAAGAACUCCGAUUGCGAAGGCAGUUCACUGGACUGCAACUGACACUGAGGCUCGAAAGUGUGGGUAUCAAACAGGAUUAGAUACCCGAGUAGUC